This is a long non-coding RNA of Beta vulgaris subsp. vulgaris (sugar beet), 2002 nucleotides long. RefSeq lists it as uncharacterized. The transcript is spliced from 2 exons. The record is from RefSeq and is a predicted model, not a curated record. Lineage: Eukaryota; Viridiplantae; Streptophyta; Magnoliopsida; Caryophyllales; Amaranthaceae.
CAUACUUUCCAGUGUCGAGUUCCAUCCAGAAUGAGUCAAAAACCCUCCUAUUGCCUUAUGAUUAAGAAUGUCCUUUUGAGGGCACCAAUUCGCCAACAUGCUUCUUUCCUUAGUUUCAAUCACAAAUUCUUGAGAUCUUAUGGAAUCAUGUUUUGGGAUUAUUUGAUCAAUAAGAAGCUCAAGAGGGCCGAUUGAGUAAAUAGGAGGUAAGUGUUGCAUGGAACUUAAUGAACUUAAUACUUCUUGUUCUAAGGCAUCAAAUGUGUUUAAGAAGAUUGCCGACGAUUUGGAAGUUUCUUCCACUGAAUUAACCAUGAAUUUGAACAUGAAAUCAUUUGAAUUUGUUGUUCUGAUGAAGCUUGGAAAAUCUUUUAAUCGAACGUUCUUCAUUCCUGGUAACUCUAUUGGAGUAUCCAAGUAUCCAUUCGUUAUACAACUUGCAUCUGAUCAGUAGCAAAAACAAAACUAUUAUUAUGCCGAAUAUCAAAAGAACAUUAUGUAGGAAUACUCACCAACAAACCAACAUAGACAUAUGUACUUAAUAGAUAUACACACAUUAACUUAAAUACUUCAUAGAUAAAACUCCUUAGAGUUGGAAAGUAAGGGUUGUAAGGUAAAUCUCUAACCCAAAGUAAAGCAUAAGGUAAUAAGGAUGAUGUAUACUCCCUUCGUCCCAAAAAAAUAAAUCUUGUUUCUUUUUGUACGGUAUCCAACACGUCUCUUUGAAUUUUGACCAUCAAUAUCUUAGUUGCGCAUUAAUAAAAUUUUUAAAAGCUGAUAUUAUAAAACUAUACAUUGAGGCAAAUCUAACAAAAUCUUAUAUAAGUAUGAUUGUUUUUGUAUAUAUCAAUGAGAAUAUUUAGUCAAAUAUAUACACUAAUAAUUCUCAUAUGUAAUAUUAGAACGAAAAUAUCCAUUCGGUAAUGAAUUAUUGGUUCUAAGUCAUCUUUGGCUAUUCAUUAACAAUUCAACGUGCUUUUCUUGCUUAUUCGUGAUAUAGCCAGUGGCGGAUCUUGAAAGAUUUCGUUAUAAAAAAAAGACAUUUAUAAGUUGUACUGUCACAUAUUUCCCAUAUUUUAAACAUUACAACAGUAUAUAAUUGAAAAAGAUCUAGCACGUUAUCAUGAGAUAUUUCUAUCUUAAGUUAGCUAAACAGAGCCUCUCUAGAUCAAAUUUGUAUAAUAGACGUACUUUGUUAGAAGUAACGAGGAAAAACAUUAGGUGACUAUUCGAAGGAAUUUUACGAUUUAGACGUUAUAAUAGUGCACAAUCCAUGACGUUAUAAUGCGUGCGAUGACAUUUUGUGUACAUUGCACACAGAGGGGUAGAUGAGGGUGUGCAAGGAGCCAGGGCCGUCUCAAACUAUAUGGAGGCCCUGUGCUAUUUGUUCAAUUUAAGGCCCCAAAAAUUUAUUUUUUAAGUGACGUCUUUACUCAUUUUUUACUUUUACAAUUAGAUGAAAUAUGAAUAUCAAUUUUAGCUUACAAAAUCACAUUCAUUAAAUCAUUACAAAGUAAAAGCAACAUUUUACCCUCAAGAUUGAUUCAUCCUCAAUCACACAAAUUAUCAAUUAGGAAAAACAAAAUAGAUAAUACUUUUCAAGCUUUUAAUCCAUCACUUAAUCUAACAUUCUCCAUAAAAGCCUUGAGAAUUAAAGGAAAAAAAAAAUUAUCUAUAAUGCUGCAAGUUAAACUGAAUCUUAUUUGAUUGCACUUAUUGAAGAAUAAUUAUGAUUUUCAUUUCUUAUUAAUUAACAAAAUUCAAGAGUGAUAGUUGAAGAAUAUUGUUAGUUGUUCAUCAAGAGGAGUUUUGAGGAAUGGAUUCUUCCAUUGAUAGAAAGAGAGAAGGUGAAGGAUGAUUCUUGAAGAAAGGUGGGAGAGGAAACUUAAUGGAAAUGAAGGAAAGAAAAAUAGUUAAAAAUUAUAACAGAGAGAAGGAAAAGAGUUGAGAAGUGAAUUAAGCAUGAUUUUUGGGAUUUGAAAAUUUGCAAAUAUUGCUAUCA